Molecule: long non-coding RNA, 339 nt
Filed under: Malus domestica (apple)
Lineage: Eukaryota; Viridiplantae; Streptophyta; Magnoliopsida; Rosales; Rosaceae
Description: long non-coding RNA (MDOM_LNC011445)
Source: RNAcentral
CCGUCCCGUUCUGUCCUGUCCCGUCUGCGUACCAAACGCUACCUUAUAUUUAGCCACUUUACUGUGCAGCCAAAGGAGAAGCCGGCUUCAAUGCAAGACAGCUGGCAUUCAUUUUAAACCACUCCUUUCCACUUAGAUUUUUACUUGGUUUUGUACAUUGACCAGUCGUCAUUGACAAUCCAUGACCUCUAUACGUGGAGUAUCUCUGAUGCAGCAUGUUUCAUACUUCUCUUUUUUGAAUUACGUGAUUAGAAUCCGUAUUAUCGUCUGAUUUUUUUUUUUUAGAAUUUCGAAGAUUCGUGAAUUAUAUAUGUUCAUCUUACAACGUGUGGUCAAAAA